CACCGCGGUUAUACGAGAGGCUCAAAUUGAUAUUCUACGGCGUAAAGCGUGAUUAGAGAAAACAGACACUAAAGCCGAACACUUCCUCAGCUGUUAUACGUUUAAAGAAACACGAAGCCCUAUAACGAAAGUAGCUUUAACCCAUGAUCUUGAACUCACGAAAAUUAAGAAA
RNAcentral lists this ribosomal RNA (172 nucleotides) under Ophichthus polyophthalmus (many-eyed snake-eel). Its description in RNAcentral is "partial small subunit ribosomal RNA". Lineage: Eukaryota; Metazoa; Chordata; Actinopteri; Anguilliformes; Ophichthidae. The record is from RNAcentral.